AUUGAACGCUGGCGGCAGGCCUAACACAUGCAAGUCGAGCGGAUGCAGGGAGCUUGCUCCUGGAUUCAGCGGUGGACGGGUGAGUAAUGCCUAGGAAUCUGCCUGGCAGUGGGGGAUAACGUCCGGAAACGGGCGCUAAUACCGCAUCCGUCCUGAGGGAGAAAGUGGGGGAUCUUCGGUUCUCACGCUUUCAGAUGAGCCUAGGUCGGGUUCGCUAGUUGGUGGGGUAGAUGCCUACCGGAGCGACUACCCGAAACUGGUCUUAAGGGAUGACCAGUCACACUGGAACUGAGACACGGUCCAGACUCCUACGGGUGGCAGCAGUGGGGAAUAUUGGGCAAUGGGCGAAAGCCUGAUCCAGCCAUGCCGCGUGAGUGAUGAAGGUCUUCGGAUUGGAAAGCACUGUAAGUUGGGAGGAAGAGCAGUAAGUUUAUACCUGACUGUUUUGACGGUACCAACAGAAUAAGCACCGGCUAACUUCAUG
This 484-nucleotide ribosomal RNA is filed under the name uncultured bacterium. Its description in RNAcentral is "partial 16S ribosomal RNA". It matches the Rfam family "Bacterial small subunit ribosomal RNA", at positions 30 to 507 of the family's 1533-position model. The record is from RNAcentral.